RNAcentral lists this long non-coding RNA (220 nucleotides) under Lathyrus oleraceus (garden pea). RNAcentral describes it as "Pisum sativum (pea) long non-coding RNA (PSAT_LNC023797)". The record is from RNAcentral. Lineage: Eukaryota; Viridiplantae; Streptophyta; Magnoliopsida; Fabales; Fabaceae.
CUUUUAAAAAUGCUGAAUUUUUUUGUCAAACUUUGUUUGACCUUGUUGAACUUGGGAUAAAUCACUUGGACCUUUCAAGGUUGAUUUGAAGUGAUUUUGAAGUUUGACCUUUCUUUUAUUUUUAAUUCAAGUUUAUUUUUAAUAUUGAAAAUGCCAAAAAUAUUUUGCUUAUUGUUUGACCUCCAAUCUUCAUCUCAUUUCUGGUUUCUCAUUAUUUGAC